GACGAACGCUGGCGGCGUGCCUAACACAUGCAAGUCAAGGGGAAAAUUUCCUUCGGGAGAUGAGUAUACUGGCGAACGGGUGAGUAACGCGUAGGCAACCUGCCCUUGCGAGAGGGAUAGCCCACCGAAAGGCGGAUUAAUACCUCAUAAUGCAGCGGAUCCGCAUGGAUAUGUUGUUAAAGUAUGCCGCAAGGCAUGCGCGUAAGGAUGGGCCUGCGUUCCAUUAGUUAGUUGGUGAGGUAACGGCUCACCAAGGCGACGAUGGAUAGCUGGUUUGAGAGAGUGAUCAGCCACACUGGGACUGAGAUACGGCCCAGACUCCUACGGGUGGCAG
Molecule: ribosomal RNA, 334 nt
Filed under: uncultured Deferribacteres bacterium
Lineage: Bacteria; Pseudomonadati; Deferribacterota; Deferribacteres
Description: bacterial SSU rRNA
Rfam family: Bacterial small subunit ribosomal RNA
Source: RNAcentral